Cebus imitator (Panamanian white-faced capuchin) is the source of this 1656-nucleotide long non-coding RNA. RefSeq lists it as uncharacterized. The transcript has 3 exons. Lineage: Eukaryota; Metazoa; Chordata; Mammalia; Primates; Cebidae. The record is from RefSeq and is a predicted model, not a curated record.
GAGUCUACAUUAAAAACCUAUGCUGAAUGAGUAAGACAUAACAAAUGCAAAAACAAAUCAUUAUUUUGUUGGGAGUCCUGGUAAAGAAACGAACCUUCAACUUUUCAAGCACCAUCCAAAUGCCAAAGACUCUUGAGGUUUGUGGAAGGAAGAAAAGCGGUCCAUUGGCAUAGAAAGUUUUCCUUCCUCUGGCUGAAGAUGAACUUAUCAUGGCAUUUUUCUCCACUUUGUACACUUCAAUAGGAGUGAAGAGAGCAUAUGAAAUGCUCUGUGACUGAGAUGUCUGUCUUCAGAGGGAGAGACUUACACUGCUAUGUGAGACUACAUCCCUGGGAAAGAGGAAAUUAUGUUGAAUUUGGAAGUAGAACAUCUGUGUCAGAGUCCCACAUGAUAAUCCUAACUACAGUAACAGUAGUACUGUAAUGAUAAAAACUGUCAUUCAUUGAGUGCUUAUUCUGCCAAGGAACAGCAUUAACUACUUUACCAAUAUUCUCUCAUGUAACUGUUGCAUCAACCCAAGGAGGCUGUCUGAGUUUCUGUGUUACAGAUAGGACAUCGAAGCUUACAGAAUGAGAGACACCUGCCUAAGGUGACAUACUGCUGGCAAUUUGUAACAGAAACAUAAUUAAAAAGCAAGUCUGCCUCCUCUAUUUCACUAUCUGUAAAACAAAGGUAUAAUGUACCUCAAAUUUUGCCAGGCUUCAAUGGGAUUACAUGAGCCCUCUAACCAAAAAAGCAUAUGUGCAGAUGUAUGUAUGAAGGUGAACAGGCCGUAUAGACCAGAUGCAAUAUCAAAAAUAGACUCCACACAAAGCAGGGUACAAGCAGAAGAAAUACAGAGAAACUUUUCUUUUCGUGGUCAUGGUCUGUGCCUUUUCACCCACCAAAAGUCUCCUCUCACUUUUCUGACAUUCAGUGUUACUCACUAGAGAUACCAGCCCAGCUCUUCCCCGCUGGUGUAGCAGGACUGUGACAUACUAUUGGAGGAGGACUAGAGAGUCACUUUCACUUUGGGAUAAGAACGCUUUAGUUGGAGAAGGAGAGAGGAUAGUAGAAAGCUUGAAAAUAAAAGAACAGGCCCACUGAAUUAUCUUCGUGGAUAUAGACUUAGUACUUAACCUUUCGAGGUUUCAGCUCCGUCAAGAACCAUUAAGUGGCUUCUUGACCGCCUUUCCUGGAGUGACUCUCUGAGCAUCAGAAAGCAUCAGAAGGUUUGCUGCCACAGUUCUUCCACAGGAACAAUCCCCAAACUUCAGCCAAUAAGACACUUUUCUAAAUCUCCCCAAGCCAAAACAGCAUCCCCUUAUUAAAAACUUAUUAGUCAGAUUUUAUAGCCUGAUAUAAAGAGAGGGAGUCCUUUUGCCUUCACUUGAUGACGCACUGCUAACAUUUUUGCACUGUCAUUAAAUCUGUGUUAAACACCAAAAGCUAUCUUUCCCUUUCCUAUCAAGAAACACUCCUGACAAUUUCAAUAACAUUAAGCAUAUGUAAGAUUUUCUUCCACCAUGAAACUAGUGAAAUUGUGUGGAUAUCCAACUUAUUUUCAAGGAAGCUGGGCAUCAUCUAAACAACAUCAGUCACGUGGAAUAUGCAAUCACAUAUUUAUAAGUGCAUAUACAAUGUACUUGACUUUGAAGCAUCUGGUUCAUUAAAAGG